GAUCAGGCUGUUGGUGAGGUAAUGGCCCGCCAAACCUGUAACCGGUACGGGCUCUGAGAGGAGGAGCCCGGAGAUGGGCACUGAGACAAGGGCCCAGGCCCUAUGGGGCGCAGCAGGCGCGAAACCUCUGCAAUAGGCGAAAGCUUGACAGGGUUACUCUGAGUGAUCUCCGUUAAGGAGAUCUUUUGGCACCUCUAAAAAUGGUGCAGAAUAAGGGGUGGGCAAGUCUGGUGUCAGCCGCCGCGGUAAUACCAGCACCCCGAGUGGUCGGGACGUUUAUUGGGCCUAAAGCAUCCGUAGCCGGUUCUACAAGUCUUCCGUUAAAUCCACCUGCUCAACAGAUGGGCUGCGGAAGAUACUAUAGAGCUAGGAGGCGGGAGAGGCAAGCGGUACUCGAUGGGUAGGGGUAAAAUCCGUUGAUCCAUUGAAGACCACCAGUGGCGAAGGCGGCUUGCCAGAACGCGCUCGACGGUGAGGGAUGAAAGCUGGGGGAGCAAACCGGAUUAGAUACCCGGGUAGUCCCAGCUGUAAACGAUGCAGACUCGGUGAU
Molecule: ribosomal RNA, 550 nt
Filed under: uncultured archaeon
Lineage: Archaea
Description: bacterial SSU rRNA
Rfam family: Archaeal small subunit ribosomal RNA
Source: RNAcentral